RNAcentral lists this ribosomal RNA (476 nucleotides) under uncultured bacterium. RNAcentral's name for it is "bacterial SSU rRNA". It matches the Rfam family "Bacterial small subunit ribosomal RNA", at positions 28 to 502 of the family's 1533-position model. The record is from RNAcentral.
GAUGAACGCUGGCGGCGUGCUUAACACAUGCAAGUCGAACGAAGCACUUUAUUUGAUUUCCUUCGGGAUUGAUUAUUUUGUGACUGAGUGGCGGACGGGUGAGUAACGCGUGGGUAACCUGCCUUGUACAGGGGGAUAACAGUUGGAAACGGCUGCUAAUACCGCAUAAGCGCACAGCAUCGCAUGAUGCAGUGUGAAAAACUCCGGUGGUAUAAGAUGGACCCGCGUUGGAUUAGCUAGUUGGUGAGGUAACGGCCCACCAAGGCGACGAUCCAUAGCCGACCUGAGAGGGUGACCGGCCACAUUGGGACUGAGACACGGCCCAAACUCCUACGGGAGGCAGCAGUGGGGAAUAUUGCACAAUGGGCGAAAGCCUGAUGCAGCGACGCCGCGUGAGCGAAGAAGUAUUUCGGUAUGUAAAGCUCUAUCAGCAGGGAAGAUAAUGACGGUACCUGACUAAGAAGCACCGGCUAAAU